ACCUACUAAACUCAGUGGUUAGAGUACUGCUUUCUGAUGGCGAGAGUCAUUGGUUCAUAUCUAAUAGUAUGUA
This 73-nucleotide transfer RNA is filed under the name Nicotiana sylvestris (wood tobacco). It matches the Rfam family "tRNA". From Rfam's summary of the family: Transfer RNA (tRNA) molecules are approximately 80 nucleotides in length. Their secondary structure includes four short double-helical elements and three loops (D, anti-codon, and T loops). Lineage: Eukaryota; Viridiplantae; Streptophyta; Magnoliopsida; Solanales; Solanaceae. The record is from Rfam by way of RNAcentral.